GGAAAAGGAGGAAGGAGCAAACAGCACAGAUGGAAAAGUGGCUCCUUUCAGGUCAGGCAGACCAAGGCUGUGCGGACGGUCAUGUCUACAAACAGAGCCCAGUUCUCAGACACUCGUGAGACGACAUAGGGAAUGAUGAUCUCAGCUGGGACGUGGAACUGGAGGGCAUAGGUGAAGAAGAUACCAACGGAGUACAUCACCUUGACUGACUGGUACAACCUGCAGACAGAACAUUGAAAGGAUGUGAGAUGCCACCAGGCAUCUGGGAAGGAGGCUCAGGACCCAUUGGAAGCUUCGCAGGUCAAAAGUCAGUGACUCAGGUUAGACUGGCUCAGAGGGGACAUGGAAGCAUGCAUUCCUGGAAGUUCUGAGGCUAUAGGAACUUCCAGGUAUUUCAUUUAAGUAUUGUAAUAAAAAUUAUAAAUGUCA
Mesocricetus auratus (golden hamster) is the source of this 429-nucleotide long non-coding RNA. RefSeq lists it as uncharacterized. The transcript has 2 exons. The record is from RefSeq and is a predicted model, not a curated record. NCBI's taxonomy places the organism in Eukaryota, Metazoa, Chordata, Mammalia, Rodentia, Cricetidae.